UCACAAUUGUUGAGAGUAAAAGGGAUGG
RNAcentral lists this small RNA (28 nucleotides) under Bombyx mori (domestic silkworm). RNAcentral describes it as "piRNA piR-bmo-1563741". Lineage: Eukaryota; Metazoa; Arthropoda; Insecta; Lepidoptera; Bombycidae. The record is from RNAcentral.